CCCUUAGAUGUUCUGGGCCGCACGCGCGCUACACUGACGAUGGCAACGAGUUUUUCCUUCGCCGAAAGGUGUGGGUAAUCUUUUGAAACAUCGUCGUGCUGGGGAUAGAUCAUUGCAAUUUUUGAUCUUGAACGAGGAAUUCCUAGUAAGCGCGAGUCAUCAGCUCGCGUUGAUUACGUCCCUGCCCUUUGGACACACCGCCCGUCGCUACUACCGAUUGAAUGGUUUAGUGAGGACUCCUGAUUGGCGCCGCCGCCCCGGCAACGGAGCAGCGGACUGCCGAAAAGUUGUUCAAACUUGAUCAUUUAGAGGAAGUAAAAGUCGUAACA
RNAcentral lists this ribosomal RNA (329 nucleotides) under uncultured eukaryote. RNAcentral's name for it is "partial 18S ribosomal RNA". It matches the Rfam family "Eukaryotic small subunit ribosomal RNA", at positions 1470 to 1796 of the family's 1831-position model. The record is from RNAcentral.